RNAcentral lists this ribosomal RNA (461 nucleotides) under uncultured bacterium. RNAcentral's name for it is "partial 16S ribosomal RNA". It matches the Rfam family "Bacterial small subunit ribosomal RNA", at positions 338 to 795 of the family's 1533-position model. The record is from RNAcentral.
CCUACGGGGGGCAGCAGUGAGGAAUAUUGGUCAAUGGGCUUACGCCUGAACCAGCCAAGUCGCGUGAGGGAAGACUGCCCUAUGGGUUGUAAACCUCUUUUGUCAGGGAGCAACGCCGGCUACGUGUAGCCGGACUGAGAGUACCUGAAGAAAAAGCAUCGGCUAACUACGUGCCAGCAGCCGCGGUAAUACGUAGGUGGCAAGCGUUGUCCGGAAUUACUGGGUGUAAAGGGAGCGCAGGCGGGAAGCCAAGUCAGCUGUGAAAACUACGGGCUUAACUUGUAGACUGCAGUUGAAACUGGUUUUCUUGAGUGAAGUAGAGGUUGGCGGAAUGCCGAGUGUAGCGGUGAAAUGCGUAGAUAUUCGGAGGAACACCGGUGGCGAAGGCGGCCAACUGGGCUUUAACUGACGCUGAGGCUCGAAAGUGUGGGGAGCAAACAGGAUUAGAUACCCGAGUAGUC